RNAcentral lists this long non-coding RNA (433 nucleotides) under Pan troglodytes (chimpanzee). Its description in RNAcentral is "long non-coding RNA NONPTRT016085". Lineage: Eukaryota; Metazoa; Chordata; Mammalia; Primates; Hominidae. The record is from RNAcentral.
AAACCCGGAAGGACCCCGCCGAAGGUUUUCUCCGGUUCGUGAGAGGGGUAGGUAGGGUUGCGAGCGAACAGAUUUGCACAGAAGUGCGUCAAGCCACCCCAGCAGGGUGGAUGUUCAGGGACACAGCUCUGAGCGAGACCUGCAGGCCGAGACACACGAGAACCUUCAAAGCAUAGGCUUUUAUACGAGUGACACCCCGGCCGACCUACUUGAACGGACACUUCUGUUUCUGUUCUUUCGCACCCUGCGCCUUAAAAGGGUCGCAAAACAUCAAAUCAGACGGAGUCCCGCUCUGUCACGCAGGCUGCCAGGCUGGCGUACAGUGGCGCAAUCUCAGCUCACUGCAACCUCCACCUCCUGGGUUCAAGCGAUUUUCUUGCCUCUGCCUCCUGAGUAGCUGGGAUUACUGGCACACACCACCAAUGCACAGGUA